This 335-nucleotide unclassified non-coding RNA is filed under the name soil metagenome. RNAcentral describes it as "partial contains 5.8S ribosomal RNA, internal transcribed spacer 2, and large subunit ribosomal RNA". The stretch from base 1 to 120 matches the Rfam family "5.8S ribosomal RNA", at positions 35 to 154 of the family's 154-position model. The record is from RNAcentral.
GAUGAAGAACGCAGCGAAAUGCGAUAAGUAAUGUGAAUUGCAGAAUUCCGUGAAUCAUCGAAUCUUUGAACGCACAUUGCGCCCGCCAGUAUUCUGGCGGGCAUGCCUGUUCGAGCGUCAUUUCAACCAUCAAGCCCCCGGCUUGUGUUGGGGACCUGCGGCUGCCGCAGGCCCUGAAAACCAGUGGCGGGCUCGCUAGUCACUCCGAGCGUAGUAAUACAUCUCGCUCAGGGCGUGCUGCGGGUUCCGGCCGUUAAAAAGCCUUAUUUACCCAAGGUUGACCUCGGAUCAGGUAGGAAGACCCGCUGAACUUAAGCAUAUCAAUAAGCGGAGGA